GAUGAAGAACGCAGCGAAAUGCGAUAAGUAGUGUGAAUUGCAGAAUUCAGUGAAUCAUCGAAUCUUUGAACGCACAUUGCGCCCUUUGGUAUUCCAAAGGGCAUGCCUGUUCGAGCGUCAUUUGUACCCUCAAGCUUUGCUUGGUGUUGGGCGUCUUGUCUCUAGCUUUGCUGGAGACUCGCCUUAAAGUAAUUGGCAGCCGGCCUACUGGUUUCGAAGCGCAGCACAAGUCGCACUCUCUAUCAGCAAAGGUCUAGCAUCCAUUAAGCCUUUUUUUCAACUUUUGACCUCGGAUCAGGUAGGGAUACCCGCUGAACUUAAGCAUAUCAAUAAGCGGAGGA
This 341-nucleotide unclassified non-coding RNA is filed under the name soil metagenome. RNAcentral describes it as "partial contains 5.8S ribosomal RNA, internal transcribed spacer 2, and large subunit ribosomal RNA". The stretch from base 1 to 120 matches the Rfam family "5.8S ribosomal RNA", at positions 35 to 154 of the family's 154-position model. The record is from RNAcentral.